GGCAAUGCUACCAAAUACUAAUGGAGUGUAUUUAAACUUCUGACCGACUGGGAAUGUGAUGAAAGAAACAAAAGAUUAAAUAAAUCAUUAUCUUUACUAUUAUUCUGACAUUUCACAUUCUUAAAAUAAAGUGUUGAUCCUAACUGACCUAAGACAGGGAUUUUUUACUCUGAUUAAACGUCAGGAAUUGUGAAAAACUGAGUUUAAAUGUACAUGGCUAAGGUGUACCUAAACUUCCGACUUCAACUGUAUGUAUAUAUAUAUAUUUUAAUUCUCAGGACAUUAACCAUGUGCGUUCGCUUGUUUUUUACUGUUCUAUAGUUUCGACCCAACUGGCAAACAAAGAACUGUGUGUCCUGCAGGCCCAGGCAUGGAUCAAAGCUGGCGAGACAUUCAAUGAUGUCGUCUUCACUGAUUAAUCAACCAUGGCCCUUGUUCAAUUUGCUCAAAAUCAAGCAAGCCGGGUCCCAAGCAUUUGCUCAAACUACAUGUGUGGAUGUAUGGGGGGAAAAUUCUCGCCAGAGAAAUGAUUUUUGAUGGUAUCAUGGCUCGAGAUUUCUUUGAUAUGCUGGACCGUAUGUCAGAGAGGUGUUUCUGGGACCACAUCGUUUCUUUCAACGUAGGAUUAUAGCAAUAUUUUGUUAAGUUUAGGCCUAUUUACAUUAAUAUUUCUAUUAUUGUAGUAAUGGUUUUCAUCCUCCUCUUCUGAGGAGGAGUAGUGAGAAGGAUCGGAGGACCAAUGAGCAGGGUGGUAAGUGUCCAUAAUGUUUAAUCAAAAUGAACACUGAAAUACAAAACAUAGACAACCCACCCAACUCACACCCUGACCAUACUAAAACAAAGAUAUAAUAACAGAACUAAGGUCAGAACGUGACAAUUGUACCUGAUGUUGGCUGUUAGAAUAAAUGUAUUUUUUUCCUUCUCCAAAUGCAGACAAUGACCCAAAACACACUCCCGCCCAGGUUUGCAUUGCAAAUGAGGGCAUAAACUGGGUCAAGAUGCCAGCAGAGUAAAUAGACCUUUAUGUAGUACAAUAAAGGUUUAAUACAAAUUUGGUAAAAAACAAAUGACCUACAACACCUUCGGUAGUCCUACAGUAUAUCUAAAAACUUUUUUUCAUCUCUACAUGUAGGUCUCCUAAUUUAAACCCAAUCUAACUUGUUUGGCAUCAACAGAAAACAUUAAUCCGUAACUCUCCCAAGUCGACAAGCAAAGAUGACCUGGUCGAGGCCAUCAAGAUGUUUUUGUGAGAGAAAUUGACGAUACAACAAUGCAUCAAAUACAUUGAUCAUCUCAGCAAGGUUUUUCCUAUGGUCGUGGAGCUGGGUUGAAGUGCGACUAAAAUGUAGUUUAAAUAAACAUCCGCAUUUGAAUGUCUUUUUUCUCAUUAUUUUAUUAACAAAAGCAUAAAGAUGUUGAUGAGGAAAUACUGUACUACUGUUUUGUGUUAGAAAUGUAACAGUUUAGAGUACUUAAGCAUUGAAUACAUUGCAAGUUGAGGGAUUUUCACAACAGUAGCCGGGCUAUAAAAAGCCUAUUGUCCUGCUAAUAGGAAACAUUUGCAUGAUGGUCAACACCUGCUACAGUACUACAGUAAACCUGUUUUCAAAAUGCCUCCAGUUGUCCAUCACAACAGUAAAUAAAAACACAGCAUCUUGUUUA
Long non-coding RNA from Oncorhynchus kisutch (coho salmon), 1662 nucleotides. RefSeq lists it as uncharacterized. The transcript is spliced from 2 exons. Lineage: Eukaryota; Metazoa; Chordata; Actinopteri; Salmoniformes; Salmonidae. The record is from RefSeq and is a predicted model, not a curated record.